CAGGCCUAACACAUGCAAGUCGAGCGGAAAUAUGCAAUCGGAGAGCUUCGGCAGGAAGAUUACAUAUUUUAGCGGCGGACGGGUGAGUAACGUGUGGGCAACCUGCCCUGUACUGUGGAAUAAUCACUGGAAACGGUGACUAAUACCGCAUGUCAUUGCGAGAGGGCAUCCUCUUGCAAGAAAAGGAUUUAUUCGGUACAGGAUGGGCCCGCAUCUGAUUAGCUAGUUGGUGAGAUAACAGCCCACCAAGGCAACGAUCAGUAGCCGACCUGAGAGGGUGAUCGGCCACAUUGGGACUGAGACACGGCCCAAACUCCUACGGGAGGCAGCAGUGGGGAAUAUUGCACAAUGGGCGAAAGCCUGAUGCAGCAACGCCGCGUGAAGGAAGAAGGGUUUCGGCUCGUAAACUUCUAUCAACAGGGACGAAAAAAAUGACGGUACCUGAAUAAGAAGCCCCGGCUAACUACGUGCCAGCAGCCGCGGUAAU
RNAcentral lists this ribosomal RNA (487 nucleotides) under uncultured bacterium. Its description in RNAcentral is "bacterial SSU rRNA". It matches the Rfam family "Bacterial small subunit ribosomal RNA", at positions 43 to 524 of the family's 1533-position model. The record is from RNAcentral.